GUUAGGAAUAUUGGACAAUGGGCGCAAGCCUGAUCCAGCCAUGCCGCGUGCAGGAAGACGCAUCUAUGGUGUGUAAACUGCUUUUGUACGGGAAGAAACACUCCCUCGUGAGGGAGCUUGACGGUACCGUAAGAAUAAGGAUCGGCUAACUCCGUGCCAGCAGCCGCGGUAAUACGGAGGAUCCAAGCGUUAUCCGGAAUCAUUGGGUUUAAAGGGUCCGUAGGCGGUUUAAUAAGUCAGUGGUGAAAGCCCAUCGCUCAACGAUGGAACGGCCAUUGAUACUGUUAGACUUGAAUUACAAGGAAGUAACUAGAAUAUGUAGUGUAGCGGUGAAAUGCUUAGAUAUUACAUGGAAUACCAAUUGCGAAGGCAGGUUACUACUUGUGGAUUGACGCUGAUGGACGAAAGCGUGGGGAGCGAACAGGAUUAGAAACCCUUGUAGUCC
RNAcentral lists this ribosomal RNA (445 nucleotides) under uncultured bacterium. Its description in RNAcentral is "partial 16S ribosomal RNA". It matches the Rfam family "Bacterial small subunit ribosomal RNA", at positions 354 to 796 of the family's 1533-position model. The record is from RNAcentral.